AUAGUUUAGGUCUAAAACAUAGUUAUUUCUAUUUGAUACAAUGGUUUAUAUAUAACUUGUCCUCGAAACAAAAGUAUUUACAAAAUUCCAAAUUCUAAAACCUAGAUACAAAACUAGUUUGAUCAUGUCAAGCUAACAUCAAAUAAUUUCAAAAAUUUGUAAUAUCCCCAUAUCACUUGCGAUUUUUUACUUGGAUUGAUUUCUCCGUCGGGAACAACUUCUUUAUUCUAUGGCGCCACAAGCAUCUUGCGGCUUUGAGUUUUUCACUUGAUCUUUUUCCUCAAGUCUAGAUGGUAUAAGCGAGCACCUGUGAUUAAAGUGAAGCACACAUUAGUCAGGACACUAAACUAAUAGAUAUUGAAUAUUGUUAGUAUUUCAUCUUGAGUCAUUAAUUGAAAUGUACAAAAAGAUAUAUCACAACACAAAUGUUAAUGUUAAACCUUAUUACCACACAUAAUCCAUAAGUCUUUACAGGGUCAAAGUUUUAAUUAAUAACUUGUGAAGAGAACACCAUAUAUGAGUUUUCAGUUGACAUCUUACAUAAAAAAAAUUAAUUAUAUCUUACAAAGAAUACAAAAAAGAAAAAAUAAAUAAAACUUUUU
This 602-nucleotide long non-coding RNA is filed under the name Daucus carota (carrot). RNAcentral's name for it is "long non-coding RNA (DCAR_LNC005102)". Lineage: Eukaryota; Viridiplantae; Streptophyta; Magnoliopsida; Apiales; Apiaceae. The record is from RNAcentral.